GAUGAACGCUGGCGGCGUGCUUAAUACAUGCAAGUCGAACGGAAAGGUCCUGCUCUUGCGGGGUGCUCGAGAGGCGAACGGGUGAGUAACACGUGAGUAACCUGCCCCUGACUGUGGGAUAACUUCAGGAAACACGGGCUAAUAUCGCAUAGGAGCUCUUGCUGCAUGGGGGGGGUUGGUAAGUUUCGGCGGUUGGGGAUCGACUCGCGGCUUAUCAGCUUCUUGGGGGGGUAGUGGCUUACCAAGGUUAUGACGGGUAGCCGGCCUGGGAGGGUUGCCGGCCUCCUUGGGACUGAGGUACGGCCCAGACUCCUACCGGACGCAGCAGUGGGGAAUAUUGCAGAAUGGCCGGACGCCUGAUGCAGCAACGCUGCGUGCGGAAUGACGGCUUUCGGGUUGUAAACCGCUUUCGCAUGUGCCGAGGCGUGAGUGACGGUAAUGGGUCAGAAAGCACCGGCUAACUACGUG
Molecule: ribosomal RNA, 468 nt
Filed under: uncultured bacterium
Lineage: Bacteria
Description: partial 16S ribosomal RNA
Rfam family: Bacterial small subunit ribosomal RNA
Source: RNAcentral